This 253-nucleotide ribosomal RNA is filed under the name uncultured bacterium. RNAcentral describes it as "partial 16S ribosomal RNA". It matches the Rfam family "Bacterial small subunit ribosomal RNA", at positions 524 to 776 of the family's 1533-position model. The record is from RNAcentral.
UACGUAGGGGGCUAGCGUUAUCCGGAAUUACUGGGCGUAAAGGGAGCGUAGGCGGACUUUUAAGUGAGAUGUGAAAUACUCGGGCUCAACUUGAGUGCUGCAUUUCAAACUGGAAGUCUAGAGUGCAGGAGAGGAGAAUGGAAUUCCUAGUGUAGCGGUGAAAUGCGUAGAGAUUAGGAAGAACACCAGUGGCGAAGGCGAUUCUCUGGACUGUAACUGACGCUGAGGCUCGAAAGCGUGGGGAGCAAACAGG